GCCGGGGUGGUGGAAUUGGUAGACACGCUACGUUCAGGUCGUAGUGCCCGUUAAGGGUGUGCAGGUUCGAGUCCUGUUCCCGGUA
RNAcentral lists this transfer RNA (85 nucleotides) under Candidatus Dojkabacteria bacterium. RNAcentral's name for it is "tRNA-Leu". It matches the Rfam family "tRNA". Rfam says of the family: Transfer RNA (tRNA) molecules are approximately 80 nucleotides in length. Their secondary structure includes four short double-helical elements and three loops (D, anti-codon, and T loops). Further hydrogen bonds mediate the characteristic L-shaped molecular structure. tRNAs have two regions of fundamental functional importance: the anti-codon, which is responsible for specific mRNA codon recognition, and the 3' end, to which the tRNAs corresponding amino acid is attached (by aminoacyl-tRNA synthetases). tRNAs cope with the degeneracy of the genetic code in two manners: having more than one tRNA (with a specific anti-codon) for a particular amino acid; and 'wobble' base-pairing, i.e. permitting non-standard base-pairing at the 3rd anti-codon position. The record is from RNAcentral.